CAGCCCUAAAACUUCAAAGGUCAUGCCUAUCACCACAUGGUCCAUAGAAGUAUCAGUGCCAUUUAAAAUGCCAGAGACAGACAGGACAACCUCAGACCAGCCACAAGAUUACUUCUUAAAGGAAUGAAAACAGACAGUUUCCUUCCAAUUCUAAGGAUGUGGUACCACAGAUUGUCCCACCUACACGGCAGGCUUCAGGACUUGCUGAAGGGAGGAGUCAUAUAUCCAGCCCUUCCACAGCCCAACUUCAAAAGCUUACUUCCUUU
Molecule: small RNA, 266 nt
Filed under: Pongo abelii (Sumatran orangutan)
Lineage: Eukaryota; Metazoa; Chordata; Mammalia; Primates; Hominidae
Description: processed transcript
Source: RNAcentral